This 253-nucleotide ribosomal RNA is filed under the name uncultured bacterium. Its description in RNAcentral is "partial 16S ribosomal RNA". It matches the Rfam family "Bacterial small subunit ribosomal RNA", at positions 524 to 776 of the family's 1533-position model. The record is from RNAcentral.
UACGAAGGGGGCUAGCGUUGCUCGGAAUCACUGGGCGUAAAGCGCACGUAGGCGGAUUGCUAAGUCAGGGGUGAAAUCCUGGAGCUCAACUCCAGAACUGCCUUUGAUACUGGCGACCUUGAGUCCGGGAGAGGGAUGCGGAAUUCCAGGUGUAGCGGUGAAAUGCGUAGAUAUCUGGAGGAACACCGGUGGCGAAGGCGGCAUCCUGGACCAACACUGACGCUGAGGAGCGAAAGCCAGGGGAGCAAACGGG